GUGGUGCUGAGGAUCGAACCUGGGCCACACGCAUGCGAGGCGAGUGCGCUACCGCUUAAGCCACAUCCCCAGCCCAAAGUAAAAAUUUUUUUAAAAAAUUAAAAAGUUAAAGAAAAACAAACAUCAGUCUCUCCCCGCCCCUGCCUCUGCCCCCAGAGUAACUCAAAAGCCUCCUCUCUGAAUGUAUUUGUUUGGUCACUGUUGUUAUUAUCAAAGCACUUUUCCUUCUCUGUCAAAUGUCCUCUAGGUGGCUAGAGGUAAGUUAGAGCUGUGUUUGCAAGUCAUUAGGGCACCUCAAGUGCACUAAGAUGAUUAUUUGCUAAAUGGCUUCAUAGUGUUUGAGAAGUUAGUGUAGUCCACAUAGGAGUUCCCAUGCCCUGGGGGAAGAGCUAACACCCACCUCUGUGGUAGCCUUGUUUAUCUGUAGCAGACUUAAAGAUAAGAAAGACUGUUAAAGAUCAUUAGCAAGACAUAGCCAAGGAGUAAAUUUUCUUUUCUUUUUUAGUAGUAAUUGAACCCAGAGCAAUCCCCCCCCACUCCGCCUUUUUUUUUUUUAAACAGGGUCUCACUGAAUCGCUUAGGACCUCACUAAAUUACUGAGGCUGGCUUUGAACUUGCGAUUCUCCUGCCUCAGACUCCAGGAGAUUACAGGUAUAUGCCACAGCACCCAGCUCACUUUGCGUCUCACAGCUGCCUCCUGAACAACUCCAGAUGGGAAUUAUCUGGGCACCUUGAAAUCAAACCCCAAACUCAACUUCCUGCUUCUCCUGUAUUUCUUAACUCAGUAAUUGCCUAGUUAUUCGAGCUAGACCCUUGCAUAUCACCCGUAACUCCUGCCUUUAGCCGCUCUCCCCAAAUCAGUAAUGAAUAUCAAUUGCAUCAUUAUCCAUUCAGUCCUGUCCAUACAAAUCUGUCUACUCCUCCUCUCUACUGCCACCACUUGCCUUGUGACUUUGGGCAGUUACUUAGCUUUUCUGUUCCUUGAAUUCCCCAUCCAUAAAUAGGAAAUUAUUAUAUCUACCUCAUUGAGUUGCAAAGAUUAAAUGAGAUAAUGGGACUCAGAAUAUUAGCAAUUACUCAGACUGUCACUGGGGCCACAUCUCAUUUACUGAAAGAACCUCUUAAUGAGUCCCCUCUAGUUUGAUCCCUGUCUCUUCUCUAGUUGCAGCUCUAAUGAUCUUUCUGAAGGCAAAUUCCUUUAUGCCACUCUUCUGUGUAAAACUCUCUCAAGACCCUAAAUUACAUCUUUAGCACUGAGGGUGGGGUGAGGAGAUUAAAAAAAAUGGUCAAGGUCAGGUGUGGUGGUACAGAUCCGGAGGCUGAACAAGAGGAUCAUAAGUUCGAGGUCAGCCUCAGCAAUUUAGCAAUUCUGUCUCAAAAGGACUGGGAAUGUAGCUCAGUGGUAAAGUGACCCUGGUUCAAUCCCAGCACCAAAAGAAGGGGCAGGGGAGCUGGUGUAACAGGAAGUCCCGGUCUUAAUCUCCGGCACUGCAAAAAGAAUAAACAAAAAUUUAAAAAUAAAAUCACCUUGUGCUUGCCUUUGCACACAGCAAACAGUGAGGCUCCUUUGGUGUGAUUUAUGAGAAGGUUGUCCAAGAUCUGAUUUCCCCACCUCGAGUUCUCCCCCACUUUCCUGCCUCAAAGCACACCAGCUGCAUCUGUCUGUCCACUCUCCUUCUGGCCAUCUCCUACUCAUUCAUUGGGUCUCCAACCUGGCUUGUUCCAGCAGAUCUUUACUGAUCCCACAAGAUGGGAUCAGGUGUUCCUUUUCUGUUUUUUCUCGGGUUUAUCCCAAUGUACUUUAUCCCUGUUUUAUAAUUGCCUCUUUACUUUUUUGUCUUCACUAAAGUUUAAUACCCUUCAUGAAGUUACUGUAUCUUGAUCACCACUGUUUCUUCAACCUCUAGCCAAUGUUUGACCUGGAGCAGGUAAGCAACAAGUAUUUCUGGGGUUGUGGCUCAGCAGUGGAGCGCUCGCCUAACAUGUGUGAAGCCCUGGGUUCGAUGCUCAGCACCACAUAAAAUAAGUAAAAUAAGU
This 2037-nucleotide long non-coding RNA is filed under the name Marmota monax (woodchuck). The record is from RNAcentral. Lineage: Eukaryota; Metazoa; Chordata; Mammalia; Rodentia; Sciuridae.